AGGCUUGUAGCUCAGGUGGUUAGAGCGCACCCCUGAUAAGGGUGAGGUCGGUGGUUCAAGUCCACUCAGGCCCUACCA
This 78-nucleotide transfer RNA is filed under the name Escherichia coli. Its description in RNAcentral is "tRNA-Ile". It matches the Rfam family "tRNA". Rfam says of the family: Transfer RNA (tRNA) molecules are approximately 80 nucleotides in length. Their secondary structure includes four short double-helical elements and three loops (D, anti-codon, and T loops). Further hydrogen bonds mediate the characteristic L-shaped molecular structure. tRNAs have two regions of fundamental functional importance: the anti-codon, which is responsible for specific mRNA codon recognition, and the 3' end, to which the tRNAs corresponding amino acid is attached (by aminoacyl-tRNA synthetases). tRNAs cope with the degeneracy of the genetic code in two manners: having more than one tRNA (with a specific anti-codon) for a particular amino acid; and 'wobble' base-pairing, i.e. permitting non-standard base-pairing at the 3rd anti-codon position. The record is from RNAcentral. Lineage: Bacteria; Pseudomonadati; Pseudomonadota; Gammaproteobacteria; Enterobacterales; Enterobacteriaceae.